GCAGUGGAGGGAAAGGGAGAAGCUGGCUUCCUGCUGAGCAAGGGACUCUACCCCAGGACCCUGAAAUCAUGACCUGAGCCAAAAGCAGAGCAUAACCAACUGAGACAUUGAAGCGCCCCUCCCAUGAUUCUUAGACCCGUAUUUUUUUUUUUCUGUUAUUCCAAGCUAGCCUUUCUGCAUCAUUGGCUUACUUUAUUAAAACAAACAAAAACAAAAUGGCACCCAUGUAAAAUCAUCAAGUUUUUUCCCCCACUUUUAUGACAAUACUUCUGAAAAAUAAAGUUUGAUUUUAUAUUUGGGUGGGUAUUGAAAAUUUUGCUUACCAUAGUAAUUGUCAUUUUUGGUUUUUUUACAGGCCGCCUCACUGAAUGUGGUGCUCAGAGUAGUGAUGAAAAAUUCAUAGAUUAACACUUGAUGCCAGACUGGAAUUGAAUGUGGGAGCAGUGUGGAUUCAAGGAGCAAAAGGUCUCUUUCUUCCUUUUACAGUUCAUUUGAACACUGUUUAAACUGCCCUUGUUCACUUAUACAUGGAUUCUUUUUUGAUGAAUACAGUACAAUACUAGAGAGCACACAAGCCCAAGCAGGGGAAGCUGCAGAGGGAGAGGGUGAAGUAGGC
Lutra lutra (Eurasian river otter) is the source of this 616-nucleotide long non-coding RNA. RefSeq lists it as uncharacterized. The transcript is spliced from 3 exons. The record is from RefSeq and is a predicted model, not a curated record. Lineage: Eukaryota; Metazoa; Chordata; Mammalia; Carnivora; Mustelidae.